This 635-nucleotide ribosomal RNA is filed under the name uncultured Enterobacteriaceae bacterium. RNAcentral's name for it is "SSU rRNA". It matches the Rfam family "Bacterial small subunit ribosomal RNA", at positions 63 to 689 of the family's 1533-position model. Lineage: Bacteria; Pseudomonadati; Pseudomonadota; Gammaproteobacteria; Enterobacterales; Enterobacteriaceae. The record is from RNAcentral.
CGAGCGGUAGCACAGAGAGCUUGCUCUCGGGUGACGAGCGGCGGACGGGUGAGUAAUGUCUGGGAAACUGCCUGAUGGAGGGGGAUAACUACUGGAAACGGUAGCUAAUACCGCAUAAUGUCGCAAGACCAAAGUGGGGGACCUUCGGGCCUCAUGCCAUCAGAUGUGCCCAGAUGGGAUUAGCUAGUAGGUGGGGUAACGGCUCACCUAGGCGACGAUCCCUAGCUGGUCUGAGAGGAUGACCAGCCACACUGGAACUGAGACACGGUCCAGACUCCUACGGGAGGCAGCAGUGGGGAAUAUUGCACAAUGGGCGCAAGCCUGAUGCAGCCAUGCCGCGUGUGUGAAGAAGGCCUUCGGGUUGUAAAGCACUUUCAGCGGGGAGGAAGGCGUUAAGGUUAAUAACCUUGGCGAUUGACGUUACCCGCAGAAGAAGCACCGGCUAACUCCGUGCCAGCAGCCGCGGUAAUACGGAGGGUGCAAGCGUUAAUCGGAAUUACUGGGCGUAAAGCGCACGCAGGCGGUCUGUCAAGUCGGAUGUGAAAUCCCCGGGCUCAACCUGGGAACUGCAUUCGAAACUGGCAGGCUAGAGUCUUGUAGAGGGGGGUAGAAUUCCAGGUGUAGCGGUGAAAUGC